GUCAGUGUAGUGGGAAAAAAUAUUUGGAAUUUCGUUCAAUUUUAAUGUAGUUUUUGGAAGUAUUUUUCAAUAACGUAAAUUUAUUUUAUUGUAUUUUACAUGAUUUUACAUUUUUUAUUUUACAUGCGUAUGAGGAUACUUUUUUGUAGCUUAAACGGUUUACAAAUGAACGUAAAUAAUAAGUUAUAAACCUUAAAGUGCAAGUUAAUAUAAACUACUUUACAUUUUCAAUUUAGAGUAUUUAAGUGGAAGAAACUUUCAGCGAGUAUUAUUAAAAAUUAUUAGUAAAAAUUUGUUCUAAAAAAUUACAUAAUUUCGUUGCCGCGUUUUAAUCCGCACAAGGAUAAAAUUUAUUUAUAUCUAUAUGCAAAUUAAAAGGCUGUGUAAAACAACUGACAGCUGUUUUUAACCCACAGUCGAUAAAACUGAUCGAUAAAUGUAUAAAAAUUGUUAUCUUACUGAAAAUUGCAUAAUGGUGGAUAGUUCAUGAACAAAAUUUCCGGAUUUUUCUGUGCGGACUUUUUGUGUUGACUUUUUAUUUUUGGGAAAAAAUUUCCGGAUUAACGCGAAAUUAAGAGGUUUAUUAUUAGGGUGGAUAGAAAAUAAUAAGUUUCUGAAUUUUAACAAGAUUUCCCAUGCGUCAAAAAAUAGUAAUUUUUUAAGCUCAGUGCUUUCUGAACUUUAAUCAGUAAAAAAUAUGUCACCAAACUAAUGCAGUAAAAUUCGAAUGAUUCGUAUUAAAGAUGUACAAAACGUACAAUCAACAUCAAAAGUUGCCUUUGUUUAACUGAUUUAUAAAAUCGGCAAAAAUAGAUCUAUUAUUAAUUUCUGUAACUCUUGACGAAGGCUUCUAUGCAUACUUCAGAAAAAACUAAAUCAUGUUAAAAUUGUUUAUUUAACAGUAGUUAUUUGUAGGUUUAGUUUUUCCUAUCUAUUUAGGGAAAAGUUGAAAUUCUUAUUUAAUCCUAAUGAUCAAGGCCAUCAUACCAUUAACAUUGUUAUGAACAAAUAUAGUUUAAGUUUUUAUUAACGCCACCCAAAUAGCAUUAUAGAUAAUCCUUCUAAUAAUAAAAUGAGGCCUUGAUAAUUAGGAUUAAAUAAGAAUUGUAACCUUUCUCUAAAGAGAAAGAAAAAGCUGAACCUAUAAAUAACCACUGUUACGUAAACAAUUAUACACUGAAAAAUAUUUUUUUAAGUGAGCUUAGAAGCUUCCUUCAAGAUUAGCAAAAAUCAAUAAUAGAUCUAAUUUUUUAGAAUUUCUUAGCACGAGCCACUUUUUAUUAUCAAAAUUUUUAAUUUUCGGCCAACCCUACUGCAUACUUUUUAUUCAUUUAUUUAAUUAUUAUUGAUUUCAUUGCGGGUCAUCCAGUGCGGUGUUUUGAGAAAGAAAUGUGACACCAAAUUAGCCAUUUUCGAGGCCAGACGAUGUUUUUAACCAAAAUUUUUUAAUCAGUUCAUAACAGACUCUGUCAUCAAAAUCCAAUUUUCCAGUUUUUUGCCAAUUUUAAAAGGCCAUAAAUUAUUGAUAAUUUUUUUAAAGUGUAGUUUUAUUAGUUAAAUAUAAUAUGAAAUUACUAAAUAAUUGAUAUUACAUAAUAAUAAUUUAUUAGGUACAAAUUUGGGGUUUGGUUAAUUGCAAUUUUUUUUUAAAAGAAGAAAAUCCUUCACAUUCUCGGAGGGUAUUGGGUUGGGGGGGGGGGGGCAAAUUUGUCGAAAAAUGGGCCCCGUUCGGCCUUCUACAUGUUUUUUUAAGUAAAGGGGAUCAUGGAUUACGUUUUUGAAGAUGACACGCAUGAUGCUGCGUUAAAUCUGGCUCUCGAUAAAGUUAUGGAAGAAGAAGAAAAAAUAAUUCCGGAAAACCGAAUCUCCGAAUCAGAUUCUAGUAUUUCAGCGUUUGAAGAAACUGAUCUUUUGAUCCGAGUGAUCCAACAAAAGAUUAGAAAAAUGUGGAAAAUUCAAAAUUACAUUAUAAAGAUAAAAAAAAAACCGUCAUGGAUGAUGAAGAUGACAGUUUUGUUAAAUUUAUAAAUGCACUCAACACUUUUGGCGCACCUACUUUGUGGGAAAGUAUUCCAGAUAGAACUAAUGAAUCUGAAAUACAGAGCGGACGCAUCAUUGCAGGAGAUAAUCUUGAUAACCCCGAUGACCUACUAUCACUUGAAACCGGAGACAAAGAUAUGGAAGCGAAUGACGAAAUCAUAGAAGAUCAGCAAGCCCUAAAAAUAUUAAUUACGAUCCGAUGGAAUAUGUUGCAGGGCAUAUUGAAUGAGCUAAAUAUCACUUUUCCUCAUUUAGAAGACAAAAUCGAUGCUGUUGAGAUCGGAACCGGUAUCUACGAGAAACUUUGCAGCCCUAUCUUGGAAGAGAUCUUCAUUCAUUUUCUGUCUGUAACGCACUUCAUAUCUGAGCCUGAAGUUGACUUAAAUCUCCUUGUGGGCUAAAUGCAGAACGAAUUAUAUCAAACAUUGUGUCUAAUGAAUCUGGCUCAAAACUAUUUCGUAAAUAAAGGAGGAAGCUGACGGGUUCUGUGCGUCGAGGACGAUGUGAUAUUCAGGAACGGCCGAAUGUGAAGAACUAUUUUUCGAAUCUUCUGAGCGAGUAGCCGAAGGUUGGCCAUGAAAUUUGCGACGGAGAAGCUAUCGUUGGCGACUCAUACGUCAUUGUUUAGUCUAGUACCCUUUGGCGCCUAGAACCCUAUGGUGUAUCGAAAACAAAAGUCUCCAUGUGAAGUGGAGAAA
Belonocnema kinseyi is the source of this 2738-nucleotide RNA transcript. RefSeq lists it as uncharacterized. The transcript is spliced from 6 exons. The record is from RefSeq and is a predicted model, not a curated record. NCBI's taxonomy places the organism in Eukaryota, Metazoa, Arthropoda, Insecta, Hymenoptera, Cynipidae.